UUUUUCCUGCGGUGCUUCGUGAUAGGGUUGCUAAUUGAACCCACAGUUGAUUAAUGGAGUGAACACUCCGCGUAGGAAUGCAGGCCUCCCGACCGUCUCUCUUUUGACAGGCGAAUCGGAUGUUGGAAGCACAAAGCACGGACGACGCACACCACCUUGCAUGAGCAGGGUUUCACAUUGUGACUUUACACGGCACUGCGGGAGCAUU
Molecule: non-coding RNA, 208 nt
Filed under: Clostridia bacterium
Lineage: Bacteria; Bacillati; Bacillota; Clostridia
Description: 6S RNA
Rfam family: 6S / SsrS RNA
About the family: E. coli 6S RNA was the first non coding RNA to be sequenced, but its function was unknown until recently. It consists of 184 nucleotides that fold into an extended hairpin structure with a large single-stranded internal bulge.
Source: RNAcentral